This 253-nucleotide ribosomal RNA is filed under the name uncultured bacterium. RNAcentral describes it as "partial 16S ribosomal RNA". It matches the Rfam family "Bacterial small subunit ribosomal RNA", at positions 524 to 776 of the family's 1533-position model. The record is from RNAcentral.
AACGUAGGUGGCGAGCGUUAUCCGGAUUUACUGGGCGUAAAGGGUGUGCAGGCGGGCUGUUAAGUGGUGCAUGAAAUCUCCGCGCUUAACGUGGAGAGGCUGUGCCAGACUGGCAGUCUAGAGUACGAGAGAGGGUUGUGGAAUUCCGGGUGUAGUGGUGAAAUGCGUAGAGAUCCGGAGGAACACCGGUGGCGAAGGCGGCUUCCUGGACCGACACUGACGCUGAGGCGCGAAAGCGUGGGGAGCGAACAGG